RNAcentral lists this ribosomal RNA (395 nucleotides) under Desmodesmus sp. MACC 783. RNAcentral describes it as "SSU rRNA". It matches the Rfam family "Eukaryotic small subunit ribosomal RNA", at positions 606 to 1004 of the family's 1831-position model. Lineage: Eukaryota; Viridiplantae; Chlorophyta; Chlorophyceae; Sphaeropleales; Scenedesmaceae. The record is from RNAcentral.
AUUCAAGAUUGUUGCAGUUAAAAAGCUCGUAGUUGGAUUUCGGGUGGGUUUUAGCGGUCCGCCUAUGGUGAGUACUGCUAUGGCCUUCCUUACUGUCGGGGACCUGCUUCUGGGCUUCAUUGUCCGGGACAGGGAUUCGGCAUGGUUACUUUGAGUAAAUUAGAGUGUUCAAAGCAGGCUUACGCCGUGAAUACUUUAGCAUGGAAUAACAUGAUAGGACUCUGCCCUAUUCUGUUGGCCUGUAGGUGUGGAGUAAUGAUUAAGAGGAACAGUCGGGGGCAUUCGUAUUUCAUUGUCAGAGGUGAAAUUCUUGGAUUUAUGAAAGACGAACUACUGCGAAAGCAUUUGCCAAGGAUGUUUUCAUUAAUCAAGAACGAAAGUUGGGGGCUCGAAGA